CGCAGCCGCGGUAAUCCCAGCUCCAAUAGCGUAUAUUAAAGUUGUUGCAGUUAAAAAGCUCGUAGUUGAAUUUCGAGACCGGUUUACUGGUCGUGCUUUUGUACGUACUGGUAUUAUUGGUUUCUCCUUUCUGACGAAUCAUAAUGCCAUUAAUUUGGUGUUUUGGGGAAUCAGGACUGUUACUUUGAAAAAAUUAGAGUGUUUAAAGCAGGCUCACGCUUGAAUACAUUAGCAUGGAAUAACGAAAUAGGACGUUUGAUUUUAUUUUGUUGGUUUCUAGGAUCGACGUAAUGAUUAAUAGGGAUAGUUGGGGGCAUUAGUAUUCAAUUGUCAGAGGUGAAAUUCUUGGAUUUAUUGAAGACUAACUACUCCGAAAGCAUUUGCCAAGGAUGUUUUCAUU
This 400-nucleotide ribosomal RNA is filed under the name uncultured Glomeromycotina. RNAcentral describes it as "SSU rRNA". It matches the Rfam family "Eukaryotic small subunit ribosomal RNA", at positions 569 to 974 of the family's 1831-position model. Lineage: Eukaryota; Fungi; Glomeromycota. The record is from RNAcentral.